UGAGGAAUAUUGGUCAAUGGGCGCAAGCCUGAACCAGCCAUCCCGCGUGAAGGAAGAAUGCGCUACGCGUUGUAAACUUCUUUUCCAGGGGGAGAAUUUUCCUGUCGAGACAGAGAUUGACGGUACCCUGGGAAUAAGCAUCGACUAACUCCGUGCCAGCAGCCGCGGUAAUACGGAGGAUGCGAGCGUUAUCCGGAUUUAUUGGGUUUAAAGGGUGCGUAGGCGGAUUGAUAAGUCAGUGGUGAAAUUCUGCAGCUUAACUGUAGACUUGCCGUUGAUACUGUUAGUCUUGAGUGUGGUCAAGGCAGGCGGAAUGUGUAAUGUAGCGGUGAAAUGCUUAGAUAUUACACAGAACACCGAUUGCGAAGGUAGCUUGCUGGGUCAUUACUGACGCUGAUGCACGAAAGCGCGGGGAUCAAACAG
This 423-nucleotide ribosomal RNA is filed under the name uncultured bacterium. RNAcentral's name for it is "bacterial SSU rRNA". It matches the Rfam family "Bacterial small subunit ribosomal RNA", at positions 355 to 775 of the family's 1533-position model. The record is from RNAcentral.